GGCUGGGGUGCGGGGAGUGCUUCCAGAGCCCCGUCUGGCCCGCCGCGGCUCCGCGGGCGAAGCUUGGCUAAGCAGGGCCACCGGCUGAAGGAACAGAGAGACAGAGUGAUGAGGAUGGUUGGCUUUCAGUGCUUGGGAAGAGACCGUUUUUUUGCGUUUUGGUUUUGUCCCCAGGUCAAGGCUGGGAUUCCUGGAACCUAGGGUGAGGAGUGGGGAGGCUGUAUAGUACUUAGACUUGUAGAGCCAAAUCAGCAACUCCCUCCUUACACCUUAGCCAUUUCUAACUCAGAGCCUAAGUUACCUGAAGAGGGCCUCAGGACCCCGGCCAGCUGAAUUUAGUAAGAUAAUACCAAACCAGCCCAGGCCCUAGUCCGAAGCAAGGCAUUUCUCCACUUCUCUGUGUUCUGCCAGUAAUUUCAGAGAGUAAGAGUAGGAAAGAUGUGGUAGGGGAAUUGGAAGGCCCCCAGCCCCCUAUUGCUGCUGAUUUUCCAAAGCUUUUGCGGGGAAAUGCGGGAUGGUUAGUCUAGAGAAGUAAGAUGGUCAGUGACCAGAGGGGAGGAGCCCACGUUCUGGAUCAGUGCUUUUCAAGGAAGAGAAGGUUAAAAAAUAAGCCCAGGCAGUCAGGAAAUCCAGGAAGGCAGCAGGUGGGUGGAGUGGGGUAGUCUCCCUGCAGGAAAACAGGUCAAUUUGAGAAAGAAUGCUGGCAGGGGUGAGGGGAAGAGAGGAUCCCAGCCUUUUCAAGUCACCACCAAGGUUCUGCAGUUCCUCAGAGAGCGGAACACACAACCAGAAAAGAAGUUUGGAGAUCUCUGGUUUGAAAAACUGACUCCUGGAGAGCAAGAAUUUGUCAGUGACUCUCCAGCGUGAUCCAUACAGAGGGUACCUGGCCAGAGUCUGAAUUAUCCAUGGUCAACUGCCUUCGGGAAGCAGAUGAUCUUCCUGACGGAUCCUGGGAAGGUCCAUACUGCCCAGCACUACAUCAUAUGCCUGCGUCAGCCCUCAAAGUCGUCUUAUUAUGUCAGCGAGGUAUCGUCUCACAUCACCACGAGAAGUGGAAAAGAAAACUGUUUUCACCAUUACUAUAGACCAAUGAUGAUCAUUUACUCUGAGACAGAGAACAAGGUAUCAAUCAGCUUUCAUUCCAUUCUCUCCUGUUGCUUCUCUGUGUAGUGCUCUAAAAGAGACCUGAAACAUUGGGAAAAAGCUAAUUUACCUUUAAAAAAAAAAAUAAGACCAACACUCUUAAGGCUCCAAACAAGACUGGAUCACAGCUUCAGGUCAGUAGAAGAAUUACAGGGCAGACACAUAAUCCUAUUCAUAAACAGCAACCAGUGUUAACAGUUGUUUCAUUUUCUUCUUUUCUCUUCUCUCCAAGACUAAUUAGCAUUACACACAGUGUGUUCCUUGUUACAAAUGCCUUCUUUCAGUGUUAGAACUAUAGUAUCUUUUGAUUACCCACAACUCUGAUCUAGUUUUUCAGUUAUGCCAAAGCCAAACACUCUGUAACACUUCAGACUAGCUAAACUAAAAAAAAAAAAAAAAAAAAAAAAAAAAAGAAACAACUAUCACAAGUGGAUGUGACAUGUAUACUACCUUCACUUUGUGAAUCAUCAUCACUUCAAAGAUAAACUAUAAAAGAAGACCUUUAAAAAAAAAAAGAAUACCUUUUUAUAUACUUACUGCUGAAAAGCUGCCAUUGUAUUCUCCAAAUUUUCUCCAGCACCUGUGAAAACAUUAAAUUUAAAUUUCAU
This is a long non-coding RNA of Mustela erminea (ermine), 1751 nucleotides long. RefSeq lists it as uncharacterized. The transcript is spliced from 4 exons. The record is from RefSeq and is a predicted model, not a curated record. Lineage: Eukaryota; Metazoa; Chordata; Mammalia; Carnivora; Mustelidae.